RNAcentral lists this ribosomal RNA (157 nucleotides) under uncultured Streptomyces sp. Its description in RNAcentral is "partial 16S ribosomal RNA". It matches the Rfam family "Bacterial small subunit ribosomal RNA", at positions 330 to 504 of the family's 1533-position model. The record is from RNAcentral. Lineage: Bacteria; Bacillati; Actinomycetota; Actinomycetes; Kitasatosporales; Streptomycetaceae.
GUAGGUUUCCUACGGGAGGCAGCAGUGGGGAAUAUUGCACAAUGGGCGAAAGCCUGAUGCAGCGACGCCGCGUGAGGGAUGACGGCCUUCGGGUUGUAAACCUCUUUCAGCAGGGAAGAAGCGAGAGUGACGGUACCUGCAGAAGAGCCCUAUCCCC